GCCAAGUAUGGAGGCACAUGCCUGUAAUCGCAGCCACUUGCGAGGCUGAGACAGGAGAAUUGCUAAUUCGAGACCAGUUUCAGCAAUUUAGUAAGACCCUGACUCAA
This 107-nucleotide small RNA is filed under the name Marmota monax (woodchuck). Lineage: Eukaryota; Metazoa; Chordata; Mammalia; Rodentia; Sciuridae. The record is from RNAcentral.